Molecule: ribosomal RNA, 1728 nt
Filed under: Durio zibethinus
Lineage: Eukaryota; Viridiplantae; Streptophyta; Magnoliopsida; Malvales; Malvaceae
Description: SSU rRNA
Rfam family: Eukaryotic small subunit ribosomal RNA
Source: RNAcentral
AGUGGUACUAUGGUUGUGCGUGUUGGCAGGCUCCAUGCUCUAUGCAUCGAACUGUCGACCCGUCAUCCUUUUCAAUCUCCCCCUACGCGGUCAUCGUACCCUGAGGGUGCGAUCGAGAUCCUAUGCUGCAUACCUGAAUCGAUGGAAAUCGGAUGUUUCGCCAUCCCCCAUCCAUCUUGUGUCCCUAGGGGCCACAGGUUGGAUGUCAAUCGUGGCUGGUGUCCCAAGCGUGCCACCCAAUCCUCUGUGGUCGUAUUGGUGCACUGACGUUCGAUCGUGCUCUCGAAUGCAGAAUGUUUAGUAGGCAUGAUGAUGAGAGACGGAGAAUUAGGGUUCCAUUCUAGAAAGAGAGCCUAAAAAAUGGCUACCACAUCCAAGGAAGGCAGCAGGCACGUAAAUUAUCCAAUCCUGACACGGGGAGGUAGUGACAAUAAAUAACAAUACCGGGCUCUAUGAGUUUGGUAAUUGGAAUGAGUACAAUCUAAAUCCCUUAAAAAAGAUCCAUUGGAGGCAAGUCUGGUGCCAGUAGUCGCGGUAAUUCUAGCUCCAAUAGUGUAUUUUAAGUUGUUGCAGUUAAAAAGCUUGUUGUUGGAACUAGGGUUGGGUCGUUUGGUCUACCUCACGGUGAGCACCAGUCUACUCGUCCCUACUACCGAUGAUGCGCUCCUGGACUUAAUUACCAGGGUCGUUCCUCUGGCACUAUUAUUUUAAAGAAAUUAGAGUGCUCAAAGCAAGCCUACGCUUGUAUACAUUAGCAUGGGAUAACAUCAUAGGAUUUCGAUCCGAUUGUGUUGGCCUUCGGGAUCGGAGUAAUGAUUAACAGGGACAGUCAGGGGCAUUCGUAUUUCAUAGUCAAAGGUGAAAUUCUUGGAUUUAUGAAAGAAGAACAACUGUAAAAGCAUUUGCCAAGGAUGUUUUCAUUAAUUAAGAACGAAAGUUGAGAGCUCAAAGAUGAUCAAAUACCGUGCUAGUCUCAACCAUAAACGAUGUCGACCAAGGAUCGAUGGAUGUUACUUUUAGGACUCCGUCGGCACCUUAUGAGAAAUCAAAGUCUUUGGGUUUCGGGUGGAGUAUGGUCGCAAGGCUGAAACUUAAAGGAAUUGACAGAAGGGCACCACCAAGAGUGGAGCCUGCGGCUUAAUUUGAGUCAACACGGGGAAACUUACCAGGUCCAGACAUAGUAAGGAUUGACAGACUGAGAGCUCUUUCUUGAUUCUAUGGGUGGUGGUGCAUGGCCGUUCUUAGUUGGUGGAGCGAUUUGUCUUGUUAAUUUCGUUAACGAACGAGACCUCAGCUUGUGAACUAGCUACGUGGAGGUGAUCCUUCGUGGCUAGCUUCUUAGAGGGACUAUGGUCGCUUAAGCCAAAGAAGUUUGAGGUAAUAACAGGUCUGUGAUGCCCUUAGAUGUUCUAGGCCGCACGCACGCUACACUGAUGUAUUCAACGAGUCUAUAGCCUUGGCUAACAGGCUCGGGUAAUCUUUGAAAUUUCAUUGUGAUGGGGAUAGAUCAUUGCAAUUGUUUUUCUUCAAUGAGGAAUUCCUAGUAAGCGCGAGUCAUCAGCUCACGUUGAAUACGUUCCUGCCCUUUGUACACAUCGCCUGUCGCUCCUACCGAUUGAAUGGUCUGAUAAAGUGUUCAGAUCACGGUGACAUGGAUGGUUCACUGAACCUUAUCAUUUAGAGGAAUGAGAAGUCGUAACAAGGUUUCCGUAGGUGAACCUGCAGAAG